CUGAUAUAGAGCUGCGUUUUAUUGAACGCAGCUCAAAUACGUUUGGAGCUGCGUUUUAUUAAACGCAGCUCCACAUCUGGUAUAAAUCCAACAAACCCUAAUUUUUUUCCAACACUUGAAAUUUCCCAAUCCCCAAUCUCAGCUCUCACUAUCUCAGCUCAACCUCCCGAUCCAAUCUCGCCGCCGUGCUCUCCAGAGCUCUCGCCGCCGUGCUCUCAACCCACUACCAACAAACCUCACCUCUCCUCCCUCAUCAAAACCCGAAAAAUUUGCUGACCACUAUCUGCCUGAGAAGGAACGUACGGGAAGGUGUACAAAGCUAAAGACAAAGAGAGCGGCGAAGUCGUCGCCCUCAAGAAAACCCGUCUCGAAAUGGACGAAGAAGGCGUUCCCCCGACGGCGCUCCGCGAAGUCUCCUUGCUCCAAAUGCUCUCCCAAUCUCUCUACGUCGUCCGCCUCCUCUGCGUCGAACACUCCCUCAACAAACACGGCAAGCCGCUUCUCUACCUCGUCUUCGAGUACCUCGAAACCGAUCUCAAAAAGUUCAUCGACUCUCAUCGCAAGUGCGCCAACCCUCGGCCCCUCCCUCCUUCCCAACCACAUGAGUUUGGCAUGGGUAGCACCACUGAAGCCUCUGCUUUUCAGGUGGUGCAUAUGUUCAUUCGUUAGGUGACUGCAAAUCCAUGGGAUGUGUCUCGGGUGCUAGGUGGAUCAUCAGGAGGCUCUGCGGCUGCUGUUUCUGCUAGGCAGUGUGUUGUGUCACUGGGAAGCGAUACUGGUGGAAGUGUAAGGCAGCCAGCAUCAUUUUGCGGCGUUGUUGGAUUGAAGCCAACGUAUGGACGUGUCUCAAGAUAUGGACUGAUGGCGUAUGCGUCAUCGCUUGAUGUUAUUGGCUGCUUUGGUUCAUCAGUUGCUGAUACUGGGAUUCUUCUUCAUGCGAUUUCUGGCCAUGAUAGACUUGAUGCCACAAGUAGUAAGCGACUUUUUACUUUUUACAGAGAAGACAAUAAGAGAUGGCUGAAGCAGUGGCUGUAGCAGUGGCCGGACAUAUCCUGACUGGCAUUGCAAAGAAGAUCGGCGAAAUGUUGGGCUCUACUGCUUUCGAAGGGAUUGGAUCCAUCUGUGCUGUCAAAGAUGAGUUCCAAAAAUUGAAGGGUACUCUUUCCACUAUUGAAGCUGUGUUUAAAGACGCAGAGGAGAAGCAGGACAAGAACCAUCAACUCAGGGACUGGCUCACAAAGCUCAGAGACGCAGUUUAUGAUGUGGAUGACUUGCUGGCCGAUUUCGAAACUGAAGAUCUGCGGCGAAGGGCGAUGGGGAAAAUGGCAAAGAAGGUACGUACUUUCAAACUUGCUUUUAGUCUUAGACGUAAGAUGGCUAAAAAAAUAAAAGUGAUGAGGAAGAGAUUUGAUGCAAUAGCAAAAGAUAGGAUCAAUUUCCAGUUGGUAGAACAAGGUCCUUCAGAGACUGUGACUAGGGAGAGGGACCAAACUUACUCACUUGUACAUGAAGAAGAAGUUUUUGGGAGAAAAGAUGAUAAGGAGAUCCUCAUAAAUCUACUAUUGGACUCUAAAGUGGAAGAGAAUGUCUCGUUCCUAUCUAUAGUGGGAAUUGGAGGGAUGGGGAAGACCACUCUUGCUCAGUAUGUAUACAAUGACAAGAGAGUACUGGAUUAUUUUGACUUGCGCAUGUGGGUGUGUGUCUCUGAUGUCUUUGAUGUAAAAACAAUUGCUGAAAAGAUAAUUAGAUGUGCAGAUGUUUCGAAACAUGAAAAUCUUGACAAAUAGAAAAAAAAAAAAUUCUACUUGACUAAUUAAUCCAACCUAACGUGUGUGUAUAUUAAAUUUGUUGGACUUUGAUUUAUUUUGAAAUUAGGGAUUUAGUUUACAUUUGUAAAUUUGAUUUAUUUUGUUGUUUGAGCAUUAGUUUUGAUGAAAUAAUAUUAAACCAAAUGGACGAUGGAGAAUGUCAAAUAAAUUAUAAAAGUUUACCUUCGGAUAUAAAUAGAAAAUAUAUAUGGACUAUACAAAAAACUAAUAGGGACAUCCAAUCAAACUUUUACUUGGUAGCUUAGUUGGGUUAUUGUCAUUUGGUACGUGACAAUAUAACUUAUAAGGAAUGGUGUGGUCCUGCCUAUGAUGGUCACAAAGCAAACUAAUGGGAUUUGCUUGCAAUUGUCGUCUUGCCCAACUUUUUGAAGAUUGGAGUAAAGUAAUAUGUAAAGAAUAUAUAAAACUUUCAUCUUAUAUAUAUUACCGAGCAUUAUAAUGAAAAAAAAUGUCAUUGUACUGAGAUUUGGACAUUUAUCUAUAAGAUAAAAUGUCUCAUCCAGAUUUGUUUUAUCUCUUUCAUCGAUGAAUGAAAAUUUUCAAAUAUUGGAUAUUUGAUCGAGGUCUAGAUAUAUCCUUACCUUUCAGCUACUUUGUGACAUGCUUAAUUAGGGUAGCAGCAAGUGUGCUUUGUGUCACAGUAUGCUCCUGGCCACUGUGUCAACAAAAGAUUUUUCAAAACCAAAAGAAAAAAGAGGGAAAAGAACUUGUUACGUUGAAGAGAACUAUGUUAAAGUGAGAGCAACACCAAACUAACCUGUUGAACAAAGUAAAAGAAAUCAAAAUCCUGGGAAACACAAAGAACUGAUAGAUAUUGCACUAUUAGAAGCUUGAUCAAUAUUGACCAUUUGAGCUCCAUGUUUGUUACUCUCUUUUCAACAACUCUUUGGGGAUUGGUUUAUGAGCUUUGGAAUAAUGAGAUUGUACUAGGGUUAGGUUAAAGAGACUUUAAAGCUUUGUAUUCUUUUAGCUGUACGUAGGUUUAGGCUUUAUUUAUAGGGAAAAAAAGGAAAGGUUAAGGUCCUUAAGGAUAGAAUAUCCGAGACAGUAUAUGCUUGUAGCUUGUCGAUCUUCAUUAUUAAUUUAUUGUCUUGGCUUACGUGAGUAUCGUUCUCACGUUUGUUAUGUCUUACCCUUUUUGUAUUUGCUUUGAAGUUAAUUGUUUAAUAACAAUGUCUAUGGUAUUUUCCUUCAUAUCCAAUGCUAAAAUGAAGAGCUAGCUAGGGAGGUGGAAGAGAAGCCUUAGUUUUAUCGAUCAUCCGGUGGAUAAAUCAUAAAUGUGAAUAUGAUGGGAUGGCUUACCUCAUUCAUGAUCUCUUACCUCUUGGGUGAAAAUAAAUCCAACCAACCAAAACAAUACCCCAUUUCAUAAAUGUGAAUAUUAGGGCUCUCUAUUCUCUUAAACAAAAAAAUUUGAGGCCAAAAUCAAUGUUAGGUGGUUAAUUAAAUUUUUACAAGUUUGACAUAAUUGUUAGGAUGUGUUGUUUGUUGGGAUGGUAAUUCACGUGUGUACAUAUAUGUAAAUACACGCCUUUGCAAAAGUUUUUCUUUGCUUCUUUGUUUAUAGUGUGGUGCUCAUAUACACGGGAGUUUAUGAUUAUGUGAUUGACUUUACACCUAUGUACAUCGUUUAAAUUUCUUGAAUUUUUUAAUCUAGACAAUUUGCAUUAUUCUUGCAGAAUGAGAUGCAAAUUGUUGUAAGGUAGAGAAAGCUUGGAGAGCCAGUUGGUGACACACUACUUGGAAAAACAAACUGAUCAGUACCAUCAAAGCUCCAAUAUGUGCAUUGCAGAUUAGAAGUCCGGAACCUUGUUGCUGACUCAAAAACAGGUAAAGUUUAAAGAAAAUUUCAUUGUCAAUUUAAGCAUGUAUACUUUGUUAUGUGGGGGGGGGAAAUUUUUACAGCUAUAAGCUUCUAUUGACCAAGACCAAGUGAUUGGUCUAAUUAAUGGUUCUCUGCUUCAUGUAAUCCAUAAAGUUCCGGGCUCAAAUCUUCUAAUCAAUACCUUGGACCAUUCUUUCUUGUAAUUAUACAAUGUGUCCUACUGCACUGACUGAGAUUGGUCAGCUGCUUUAAGAACCCAUGACACGCACGAGAGAGAGAGAGAGAGAUUGCUGUAUGGACCAAUGGUCCGAAUAAAACAUGCUUUUGACAACAACAUAUCUUGAUUUUAAAAAACAUAUAUGGUACUGUAGGACUAGUUAUGGAUAUGUUUGUUGGGAACUUUUGGAUAUGUUUUGUUUAUGUAAAAGUAUCAUUUAUGUAAUUAAUAUUUUGGAUACUAUAUAGUAUCAAAUAUAUAUGCAAUUUGGUAAUGAUUUCA
Molecule: RNA transcript, 4153 nt
Organism: Quercus robur (English oak)
Lineage: Eukaryota; Viridiplantae; Streptophyta; Magnoliopsida; Fagales; Fagaceae
Gene name: glutamyl-tRNA(Gln) amidotransferase subunit A, chloroplastic/mitochondrial-like
Exons: 4
Source: RefSeq, a predicted model, not a curated record